AUGAUUUGGCCUCUGGCCUUAUUUGAUAUAAAUCUUCUACCUCUGUGAACCGUCGGUCUCCGGACCGGAUAUUUAAACAUCUGUGUAAUGAAUGUAAAAACGUUAAACAAACA
This 113-nucleotide unclassified non-coding RNA is filed under the name uncultured fungus. RNAcentral's name for it is "sequence contains ITS1". Lineage: Eukaryota; Fungi. The record is from RNAcentral.